CAAGGAAUGGGUUGUCAGAGAACAUGCUCAACGCAACACUGGUGGUAGCGGCGCUGGUCAUAACAGCAAUCUACCAGUCAUCUUUAAGUCCACCAAGAGGUCUUUGGCAAGGUGAUAACACUAGUAUCCCCACCACCACCUCAAACCUUACUACUACUACUAAAUUUAAACUCUUUAACGACAAUUACAGUGAGUAUCGUUUUAAAUUUCUGUUGGGUGAAGAAACAAGGAAAACUGGUACUGCAGUCAUGAAUCCCAACUUGUUUUUAGGGUUUUGGUUUUUCAAUUUUAUAGCAUUUGGGCUUCCAGUUCUUCUAACCGUUUUGCUUUUAUCCAAUGUACCUAGUAUUCUUCUCAUCCCGCUUUAUUAUCUAUCCGUCUCCUACUUUAACUGCAUGACAAUAGUAUCUCCUUCCACGUUUUGGGCAAACCUCAACUUUGUUGUCAUGUGGACAGCCAUUCUUCUCCCGUUGCUCUUAGUUGUUAGAAGCGUAUGGUUAUCGAAGCAGCCAAAGUACAGGGAAAUCAGACAAUUACGCAGACUUUUCCGCAAGUAGAAUAAUGUUGGAAUCAUUCAACGGUUGCGAAUGUCAAUGUAGUUUAUAUGUUCUAUUAUGUUAUGUACUUUUUUCCAUUUUCUCUGGAUUAAUAUCUUUUCUCUUCGGUAAAAAAAUUAUGAAAUUGCUUUGGAUAAAUCUAAUAAAUAAGAUUAGUUUUCCCAACAGAUCAUAUCUUUGUCCGUUGCAACCAAAGAAAAAAAAACAAAGAAAAACCAACCAUCCUAUUUUCUAAUUUAAAAAAUUAUUUUCCUUUUUGUGAAAAGAGAUGUUUUCGAAGUAUUGUUGAUUCAAAAGUAACAAAUUUUUCAACAAGUCGAUAUUUUUCUCUAAAUAUUUUCUAAAAAAAUGACAAAUUCAUAAACAACAGCUAUAUUCAUUGUAUUCAAAUGAAUCUUAAUAAAACCCUGUUCAUCAUUGAUGUCUAAAAGGAUUUUUUAUCCCAUUUCAAGCUAAAAGCAACUAUUUUUUUAAAAGCCAAAUUAGCUUUUCAAAACCAUCUUUUUUAAGUCAAAUCAAAAACUUCAAAUUUCGUUUUUACUUUUCUAAAGCUAGUUUUGAGUGUCUAAAUACAAUUUUAUCUCUCAUUUAUAUUAACUAUAUAAGCUAAAUAUAAUUUAAAUUAAAUUUUACAAAUAAUUUAUAUUAAUUACUUAAAAAUAACUCAAAUUAAUAUUUCGUAGAUUAUAAUAUUAACAAUGAGUAAUAAUAAAUAAAUUUAUUAUAUUUAUAAUAUAAUCUAAGUUGAAUAUUGUUGAUACCAAAAUAAUAAUAAUAAUAAUUUACAUUUGUGGUUGAUGAUAACCUUUCUAAAUUUCGUUUAAUAUAUGAUUUAUGCAAAUAAGAUUGGCAACUUAAGUUUCGACACGUCCCGCAAAAGUAUAAUAGACCGGCAAAUUGCAUUGUCAAAGUUGUUCCUAAUGAUUUAAAUAGGCCACAUGAUCAUGCUUGAUUUUUGUUUGAAAAAGAUGCUCAUCGAGCAAUGGUUAAUGUAGGCUCCCGUCAAUAGCUAGUUCCUUAAACUUGUGUAUUUUCUACAAAAAAGAUAUAUUUUACAUUUGUGUCAAUUCCAAUGGCUAUGCUUGGCUCGUAACGUAUUUUGAGCCUUGUCUUUUAUGGUUCUACAAAUGGGUGUUAAAUCCAUCAAAAACAAUAUUCAUAAGCCUGAACAAUAAAUAAAUAACAGCACAAAUAGUAGAGUCAAUCCCAUAGAAAAUAACUAUCGAGAUUGGUUAAGAUUGUUUUUUCAUCUUAUUAGACCCAUCACUUUGCAUCAUUCUUUUACUUAAGGUCGAGCAAUUAAGACAUACUUCAUAACUAAUUUUUUCCUAAUUUAUUCAUAACUAACUAAUUUUCAAGUAAGUGAUAGUUAGUGGUUCAUGUCAUUUUGCAACUCUCCUAAUUUAUUCAUCACUUGCAUUAUUUAAAAGAGUGCUAUAUAAUCAUUUUGCAACUCUCCUAAUGUAUAUAUAUACGGUGAUAAGUUGCGUAUAUCCCUUUGAUAAUUUAUUAAUGGCUGUUUCUACGCAGGCAAUGGAACUGUCGUUAGAUUCCUUUUGGUCGUUAGAUGUAAAAGCUAACAACUCGGAAGGUUUGACAGCUGGAGAAACCAUUGCAAAAGGUUAAAAGACAAGGCUUGAACGUGAGUGGCGAAGAGGAUGAUACCACUGCCAAGAUUAAUCGCAUCAAGAAAAAAACUAGUUGGAUUGAAAGAGUAUGUAGUAUGUACAACGAGGAUUCGUGCAAGGAAUGAAUUAUCGGAGAACAUGAUCAAUGCAACCCCGGUGGUUACGACGCUGGUUAUAACAGCAAUCUACCAAUCAUGUUUAAGUCCACCGGCAGGUGCUCGGCAAGAUGAAGGUGAUCACAGUAUCUCCAUCUCAAACACUACUCUUCCCCUCGCUGUCAACAAACACGAUGAAUCCUUUUUGGGUCUAGGAUCAAGACAAAUUGGUACAACAAUAAUGAAUCCUCUAUGGUAUUUAUUGUUUUGGUUUAUUAAUAUUUUAGCAUUUGAGCUUCCUGUUCUUAUAACAGUUUUGGUGCUCACUAAUGUUCCUUUUGUACUUCUCCCGCUUUCUUAUCUAAGCGUGUCUUAGUAUUACUCGAUGGCAACAAUAUCACCCAUGAUGAUGUGGGCAAUAGUCAACACCAUUCUCACGAUAAUAGUUUCUUGGCUCCCGACUUUCGUUUAUUUUAAAGUCAUACAAUCAUAUAUGUCCCAAAAUUCCAAGUAGUUCAAACACUUACGUAGAGUUUUUCGUAGUGACAGCAAUGUCGGAGUCAUUCAACGCUUGAAAAGGACAAUCUAGUUUAUAUUGUACUAUACUUUAUGUACUUAUAUAUAUACACAUAUGUAUAAAAAAAUAUGAAAUAUGCAUUUAUAUAUAUACACAUGUAUAUAAAAAAAUUAAGAAAUAAAAAAAUGUAAAGUAUGUAUAUAAAAAAAUUGAAAUAUGCAUUUAUAUAUAUACACAUAUGUAUAGAAAAAUAUGAAAUAUAUAAAAAUAUAUGAAUGUGUGCGAGUAAUAUACAUAAAAGUAUAAACGUAUAUAUACUUAUCAUAAAAUAGGUAUGCGUAUAUAAACAUAUUUUGAAACUAUAAGAUAUGUAAAACACAUUUAAUGUCAAACGUACACACAUAUGUGUAAUGAGAUAUAUGUAUAUGUAUUUACAAAAUAAAAAAAAUAUAUAAGUAUAAUAUAUAUAAGUAAAUUAUGAAAAUAUAUGUAUGUAUAUAUUAAAAUAUGUAUAUAUAAGUAUAAUAUGUAUAUAAAAAAAUGACAUAUGCAAAAAAACAAAUAUAUAUUUAUAAUAAUUUAAAAUAAUAAUAAAAAUGUAUGUAUAUACGUAUUAUAAGAAUGUAUGCAUGUAUUUAGGAUUAUAAAAUAUGAAAAUAUAUGCGCAUAUGUAUAUGUAUUAUAAAAUGUACAUAUAUAUUUUAAAAUUAUAAAACACAAAACAAACAAAAACAAAUGUAUGUACGUAUAUGAAAUAUAAAAUGUAUAUGCAUAUAUUAUAAGAAGUAUGCACAAAUACAUGGUUAUAAUAAUAAUAAUAAUAAUAAUAAUAAUAAUGAUGCAAUAUAACAGUAUUAAUAAUAUAUUAAAAUACUUAAAAAACCCAAAAAGACAGAUUAAGGAUUAAAUUGAAAAUAAACGGAGUUUGGGGGCCGAAUUAAAAAAUGGAAAACACAAAAAGGGACCAAAUCAUAAAGCGCGAAACAGGAAGAAGACCCAAAGGGAAAUAUCCCCAAGCUAAUCCAACGGCGUCGUUCUAGUGAGACCUAUGCGCAUGGUCUAUGGACCAAAUUGAAACAAGAGAGAAAUUUUGUGGCCAAAAUUGAAAAUAUGUGAAAAAAACUUCAUUGAAGAUGGCACAAAAGAAAGGGGACCGAUUGCGAAAAUAUCUCCACCAGCGAAAACACGCGGGUCACCUAGGCCUGUCGGGUCACACACGCGGGUAUAGGCCUAUACGGCGCCGUUUUGGGGCCACUGAAACAGGCCUAAACGACGCCGUUUCAUGCCCUUAUAUAAAAAUCAAAAAUUUUCUAAAGGAUUCAUUUUUUUCCCUUCUUUUACAGAAAACAGAUGAACCCUCUGCUAGGAUUCUCAUUUCCCUUUGCCGCCGCCGCCAAGAGGACCGUCCCACAGCUUCCGUUGCCGCCCCAGUCUCUGAUUGCGACGAAGAGGGGAAAGAUUCAACAAUACUAGGUAAAUUUUUCACCUCUUAAUCUUUUCUUUUUCCUUUUUUACACACGAUGAAUAAACAAAAAGAUUCAAAAAUAGAAACAAACAAUCGUUGCAAAAAAUCACCUCCAGUAUACUGUUUUUUUAUUUUCUUCUAUUUUUUCUGUAUCAAUCCGUUUUUCUCUUUUCAAUCCCCCCAUUUACGAAAAAAAAACCCCUUUUAUCACUUUUUUAUCUUUCUGUUAUGCUAACGUGCUCGCGGUUUGUGGUUUGUUGCUGGAAGAUCGUGCAUGGUGGGCGACGUGCUGCGAUGUUGGGACGUGGGUGAGGUUGCUGCGGCUGCUGGUUUUGCUGCUAGCUGCUAGGGUUUCUAAAACUUUAGGCUAAUUGGGCCUAGUAAUUGGAUUAGGAUUGGCCCAAAUUUUAUUGGAUUUGUAAUUGUAUUUAGUUUUAGUAUUUGAUUUGGGCCCUGGGCAAUAAUUGGGUAUUACACCCUUGACGGAUUAGUUUAGUGUAAGCUUGGUUUAAAUCAGUUGAGGUUUCAAAUAAGGAUAGUCAGUUUGCAACUCUCCUAAUUUCUUCAUCAUUUAAAGAAAGAAACAAAAGCAUGGAUCCAAGCUUGCGAGAAGUAGCUGGAACAGGAGAUACUGAUGCCUUGUACGCUCUAAUUCGAAAGGAUCCGUACAUGUUGGAGCAUAUUGAUCAGAUUCCUUUCAUCGAUACUCCACUUCACAUAGCAGCAAAUGAAGGCCAAAUUAAGUUUGCAAUGGAGAUGAUCAACUUGAAGCCUUCGUUUGGUCGGAAGCUAAACCAAGACGGGUUUAGCCCCAUGCACUUGGCCCUCAAAAUGGGGCAUACCAAGCUAGUGCUUCGACUGUUGAAGACCGAUAAAGACCUGGUUCGCGUCAAAGGAAGGGAAGGGAUGACUCCUUUCCAUUGGGCAGCUGCAGUGGGGAACCCUAAUCUUUUAUUCCACUUCCUUGAAACUUGCCCUGAAUGCGUUGAGGAUGUCACGGUUCGUAACGAGACUGCAUUACAUCUUGCUCUGAAAAACGACCACACAGACGCUUUUAAUCUCUUACAUGGAUGGCUUCGAAAGAACCGUCGAGGAGGAGGCAAUGGUUUGGAAAGAAAGGUUGUGAAUUGGAGAGAUGAUGAUGACAACACUGUGUUGCACAUUGCAGCUACAAAGCAACAACAUCAGGUAUAUAUGCAAUAUAAUGAUAAGUUGCGUUCCUUUGAUCAUUUUAUUAAUUAUGACUAUUUAUAAUAUUCUACGCAGGCAGUACAACUGUUGUUGGAGUCCUUUUAUGGGUUAGAUGCAAACGCUAAGAACUCGGAAGGUUUGACAGCUCGAGAAAUCAUAGAAAGGGUUGAAAGACAAGGGCUGAACAUGAGUGGCGCCGAAGACGAUGAUACCACCACCGCCAAGAUUGAGCGCAUUAAGAAAAGAACUAGUAGGUCUGAAAGAGCAUUAGUGAAGUUGAUUCGUGCAAGGAAUGGGUUGUCGGAGAACAUGCUCAACGCAACACUGGUGGUAGCGGCGCUGGUCAUAACAGCAAUCUACCAGUCCUCUUUAAGCCCACCAAGAGGUCUUUGGCAAGGUGAUAACACUAUCCCCACCACCACCACAAACCUUACUACCACUACUAAAUUUAAACUCUUUAACGACAACUACAGUGAGUAUCGUUUUAAAUUUCUGUUGGGUGAAGAAACAAGGAAAACUGGUACAGCAAUCAUGAAUCCCAACUUGUUUUUAGGGUUUUGGUUUUUCAAUUUUAUAGCAUUUGGGCUUCCAGUUCUUCUAACCGUUUUGCUUUUAUCCAAUGUACCUAGUAUUCUUCUCAUCCCGCUUUAUUAUCUAUCCGUCUCCUACUUUAACUGCAUGACAAUAAUAUCUCCUUCCACGUUUUGGGCAAGCAUCAACUUUGUUGUCAUGUGGACAGCCAUUCUUCUCCCGUUGCUCUUAGUUGUUAGAAG
This 6226-nucleotide long non-coding RNA is filed under the name Gossypium barbadense (sea-island cotton). Its description in RNAcentral is "long non-coding RNA (GBAR_LNC018934)". The record is from RNAcentral. Lineage: Eukaryota; Viridiplantae; Streptophyta; Magnoliopsida; Malvales; Malvaceae.